Molecule: non-coding RNA, 106 nt
Filed under: bovine gut metagenome
Description: FMN riboswitch (RFN element)
Rfam family: FMN riboswitch aptamer (RFN element)
About the family: The RFN element is a highly conserved domain that is found frequently in the 5'-untranslated regions of prokaryotic mRNAs that encode for flavin mononucleotide (FMN) biosynthesis and transport proteins. This element is a metabolite-dependent riboswitch that directly binds FMN in the absence of proteins.
Source: RNAcentral
ACUUCAAGGCAGGGUUAAUUUCCCUACCGGCGGUAUAGUCCGCAAGCCCUUUUGGGUUGAUUCGGUGCAAUUCCGAAACCGACGGUAAAGUCCGGAUGGAAGAAGU